RNAcentral lists this ribosomal RNA (1014 nucleotides) under Triticum aestivum (bread wheat). RNAcentral's name for it is "partial small subunit ribosomal RNA". The record is from RNAcentral. Lineage: Eukaryota; Viridiplantae; Streptophyta; Magnoliopsida; Poales; Poaceae.
AUGGUGCUCUCCCGGGACGCCUCAGACACCGACGUGUCGGUGCACUCCACGUUCGCCUCGCGCUAUGUUCGGUCGUCUCUCCCGAGGUACCGUAUGCCGGAGAAGUCGAUCCCCAAGGAGGCGGCGUACCAGAUCAUCAACGACGAGCUGAUGCUCGACGGCAACCCCCGGCUGAACCUGGCGUCGUUCGUGACGACGUGGAUGGAGCGCGAGUGCGACAAGCUCAUCAUGGCCUCCAUAAACAAGAACUACGUGGACAUGGACGAGUACCCCGUCACCACCGAGCUCCAGAACCGGUGCGUGAACAUGAUCGCGCAUCUCUUCCACGCGCCGCUGGGCGAGUCGGAGACGGCCGUGGGCGUGGGCACGGUGGGAUCGUCGGAGGCCAUCAUGCUGGCGGGGCUGGCCUUCAAGAGGAAGUGGCAGAACAGGCGCAAGGCCGAGGGCAAGCCGUUCGACAAGCCCAACAUCGUCACAGGCGCCAACGUCCAAGUCUGCUGGGAGAAGUUCGCCAGGUACUUCGAGGUGGAGCUCAAGGAGGUGAAGCUGCGGGAGGGGUACUACGUGAUGGACCCGGAGCAGGCGGUGGCGAUGGUGGACGAGAACACCAUCUGCGUGGCGGCGAUCAUUGGCUCCACGCUCAACGGCGAGUUCGAGGACGUGAAGCGCAUCAACGACCUGCUCGAAGAGAAGAACAAGGAGACCGGGUGGGAGACGGCGAUCCACGUGGACGCGGCGAGCGGCGGGUUCAUCGCGCCGUUCCUGUACCCGGAGCUGGAGUGGGACUUCCGGCUGCCGUGGGUGAAGAGCAUCAACGUCAGCGGCCACAAGUACGGCCUCGUCUACCCCGGCAUCGGGCAUCGGCUGGUGCGUCUGGCGCGGCAAGGACGACCUGCCGGACGACCUCGUCUUCCACAUCAACUACCUCGGCACCGACCAGCCCACCUUCACGCUCAACUUCUCCAAGGGGGUACAAGAAGAUCAUGGAGAACUGCCAGGAGAAUGCCAUGGUGA